Molecule: ribosomal RNA, 254 nt
Filed under: uncultured bacterium
Lineage: Bacteria
Description: partial 16S ribosomal RNA
Rfam family: Bacterial small subunit ribosomal RNA
Source: RNAcentral
UACGUAGGGGGCGAGCGUUGUCCGGAUUUAUUGGGCGUAAAGAGCUCGUAGGCGGCUUGGCAAGUCGGGUGUGAAACCUCCAGGCUCAACCUGGAGACGCCACUCGAUACUGCCAUGGCUAGAGUCCGGUAGGGGACCACGGAAUUCCUGGUGUAGCGGUGAAGUGCGCAGAUAUCAGGAGGAACACCGGUGGCGAAGGCGGUGGUCUGGGCCGGCACUGACGCUGAGGAGCGAAAGCGUGGGUAGCAAACAGG